UCAUGAUACAAAUACACACUGAAGAUGCUGAGCUUAUGGAUGGAGCUAAAACGAGUAAUUACUGAGCAGGUCAGGUUCUAAGCAGCUAUCAGUGUACAGUGUACAUCUUGUGUACAUCAAGUGUACAUUCAGGGUACAUCAAGUGUACACUCGAGGUACAUCAAGUGUACAAUAUGCAUUGAGUGUGCUUACAAUGUAUAGCAAGUAUACAUACAGCGUACAGUCAUUGUGCACUCAGUGUGCAGUCAUCGUGCACUCAGUGUACAGUCUGCUUGCACUCAGUGUACAGUCAUCGGGCACUCAGUGUACAGUCUGCUUCCACUCAGUGUGCAGUCAGUGUGCACUACGUGUACAGUCAGCGCGCACUCAGUGUACAGUCAGCAGUGCACAGUCAGCGUGCACUCAGUGUACAGUCAGCUUGCACUCAGUGUGCAGUCAGUGUCACUCAGUGUACGGUCAGCGUGCACUCAGUGUACAGUCAGCGUGCACUCACAGUCAGCGUGCACAGUCUCAGUGCACUCAGUGUACAGUCAGCAUGCACUCAGUGUACAGUCAGCUUGCACUCAGUGUACAGU
Haliotis rubra (blacklip abalone) is the source of this 575-nucleotide long non-coding RNA. RefSeq lists it as uncharacterized. The record is from RefSeq and is a predicted model, not a curated record. The transcript is spliced from 3 exons. NCBI's taxonomy places the organism in Eukaryota, Metazoa, Mollusca, Gastropoda, Lepetellida, Haliotidae.